Molecule: ribosomal RNA, 460 nt
Filed under: uncultured bacterium
Lineage: Bacteria
Description: partial 16S ribosomal RNA
Rfam family: Bacterial small subunit ribosomal RNA
Source: RNAcentral
CCUACGGGUGGCAGCAGUGAGGAAUAUUGGUCAAUGGGCGUGAGCCUGAACCAGCCAAGUCGCGUGAGGGAGGACGGCCCUACGGGUUGUAAACCUCUUUUGCCGGGGAGCAACGGGCGCUACGUGUAGCGUUACGGAGAGUACCUGGAGAAAAAGCAUCGGCUAACUCCGUGCCAGCAGCCGCGGUAAUACGGAGGAUGCGAGCGUUAUCCGGAUUUAUUGGGUUUAAAGGGUGCGUAGGCGGAUUGUGAAGUCAGCGGUAAAAUCGAGGGGCUCAACCCCUUCCCGCCAUUGAAACUGGCGUUCUUGAGUGGGAGAGAAGUAUGCGGAAUGCGUGGUGUAGCGGUGAAAUGCAUAGAUAUCACGCAGAACCCCGAUUGCGAAGGCAGCAUGCCGGCUUCCGACUGACGCUGAAGCACGAAAGCGUGGGGAUCGAACAGGAUUAGAUACCCUAGUAGUC